This 484-nucleotide ribosomal RNA is filed under the name uncultured bacterium. Its description in RNAcentral is "partial 16S ribosomal RNA". It matches the Rfam family "Bacterial small subunit ribosomal RNA", at positions 29 to 507 of the family's 1533-position model. The record is from RNAcentral.
AGUGAACGCUGGCGGCAGGCCUAACACAUGCAAGUCGAGCGGAAGCACGGGACAGCUUCCUCUCUGCGUUGCGAGUCGGGGGCGUGAGAGGAAUGCAUCUGACUCUCCCCAGUGGAUGGGGUUAACGCAGGGAAACUUACACUACAACCGCAUACAUCCUGCGAGUGAAGGAGGGGCAGAGCAAGACCUCUCGCGUGUGCCUAAGUCGGAUUAGCUAGUUGGAGUGGUAAGGGCCUACCAAGGCGACGAUCCGUAGCUGGUCUGAGAGGAUGAUCAGCCACACUGGAACUGAGACACGGUCCAGACUCCUACGGGAGGCAGCAGUGGGGAAUAUUGGACAAUGGGCGAAAGCCUGAUCCAGCCAUGCCGCGUGGGUGAAGAAGGUCUUCGGAUUGUAAAGCCCUUUUAUUGGGGAAGAACUCAUGUAGGCUAAUACCUUGGUAUGUUGACGUUACCUAAAGAAUAAGCACCGGCUAACUUCGUG